Molecule: unclassified non-coding RNA, 244 nt
Filed under: rhizosphere metagenome
Description: partial ribosomal RNA internal transcribed spacer region
Source: RNAcentral
GUAGGUGAACCUGCGGAAGGAUCAUUAAAUACAGUAGAUUUCUACUGAUCGGGGGGGUGGAAAGUCCCAGUUUGAUUACUGGAUCACGAGUAAGCCCCCUGUCUGCACCUUUGUCUUUUGCGUACUCAUGUUUCCUCGGCGGGCUUGCCUGCCGAAUGGACAAAUCUAAACCCUUUUUAAUUUUCAAUCAGCGUCUGAACAAUUAUAAUAAUUACAACUUUCAACAACGGAUCUCUUGGUUCUG